AUGCACGCUGGCGGCGUGCCUAAUACAUGCCAGUCGAGCGAACAGACGAGGAGCUUGCUCCUCUGACGUUAGCGGCGGACGGGUGAGUAACACGUGGAUAACCUACCUAUAAGACUGGGAUAACUUCGGGAAACCGGAGCUAAUACCGGAUAAUAUAUUGAACCGCAUGGUUCAAUAGUGAAAGACGGUUUUGCUGUCAAUUAUAGAUGGAUCCGCGCCGCAUUAGCUAGUUGGUAAGGUAACGGCUUACCAAGGCGACGAUGCGUAGCCGACCUGAGAGGGUGAUCGGCCACACUGGAACUGAGACACAGUCCAGACUCCUACGGGAGGCAGCAGUAGGGAAUCUUCCGCAAUGGGCGAAAGCCUGACGGAGCAACGCCGCGUGAGUGAUGAAGGUCUUCGGAUCGUAAAACUCUGUUAUUAGGGAAGAACAAAUGUGUAAGUAACUAUGCACGUCUUGACGGUACCUAAUCAGAAAGCCACGGCUAACUACGUG
This 496-nucleotide ribosomal RNA is filed under the name uncultured bacterium. RNAcentral describes it as "partial 16S ribosomal RNA". It matches the Rfam family "Bacterial small subunit ribosomal RNA", at positions 29 to 507 of the family's 1533-position model. The record is from RNAcentral.